RNAcentral lists this ribosomal RNA (160 nucleotides) under uncultured bacterium. RNAcentral describes it as "partial 16S rRNA". It matches the Rfam family "Bacterial small subunit ribosomal RNA", at positions 355 to 507 of the family's 1533-position model. The record is from RNAcentral.
UGGGGAAUUUUGGACAAUGGGCGCAAGCCUGAUCCAGCAAUGCCGCGUGCAGGACGAAGGCCUUCGGGUUGUAAACUGCUUUUGUACGGAGCGAAACGGUCUUCUCUAAUACAGGGGGCUAAUGACGGUACCGUAAGAAUAAGCACCGGCUAACUACGUG